This 370-nucleotide ribosomal RNA is filed under the name uncultured organism. RNAcentral describes it as "bacterial SSU rRNA". It matches the Rfam family "Bacterial small subunit ribosomal RNA", at positions 526 to 896 of the family's 1533-position model. The record is from RNAcentral.
CGUAGGGUGCGAGCGUUAAUCGGAAUUACUGGGCGUAAAGCGUGCGCAGGCGGUUUUUUAAGACAGGCGUGAAAUCCCCGGGCUCAACCUGGGAACUGCGCUUGUGACUGGAAGGCUAGAGUACGGCAGAGGGGGAUGGAAUUCCGCGUGUAGCAGUGAAAUGCGUAGAUAUGCGGAGGAACACCGAUGGCGAAGGCAAUCCCCUGGACCUGUACUGACGCUCAUGCACGAAAGCGUGGGGAGCAAACAGGAUUAGAUACCCUGGUAGUCCACGCCCUAAACGAUGUCAACUGGUUGUUGGGUCUUUACUGACUCAGUAACGAAGCUAACGCGUGAAGUUGACCGCCUGGGGAGUACGGCCGCAAGGUUG